RNAcentral lists this ribosomal RNA (452 nucleotides) under uncultured bacterium. Its description in RNAcentral is "bacterial SSU rRNA". It matches the Rfam family "Bacterial small subunit ribosomal RNA", at positions 346 to 793 of the family's 1533-position model. The record is from RNAcentral.
AGGCAGCAGUGGGGAAUAUUGCACAAUGGGGGAAACCCUGAUGCAGCCAUGCCGCGUGUGUGAAGAAGGCCUUGGGUUGUAAAGCACUUUCAGUAGGAGGAAGGUAGUGUAGUUAACACCUGCACUAUUUGACGUUACCUACAGAAGAAGCACCGGCUAACUCCGUGCCAGCAGCCGCGGUAAUACGGAGGGUGCGAGCGUUAAUCGGAAUUACUGGGCGUAAAGCGCAUGCAGGCGGCCUGUUAAGUCAGAUGUGAAAGCCCGGGGCUUAACCUCGGAAUUGCAUUUGAAACUGGCAGGCUAGAGUCUUGUAGAGGGGGUAGAAUUUCAGGUGUAGCGGUGAAAUGCGUAGAGAUCUGAAGGAAUACCAGUGGCGAAGGCGGCCCCCUGGACAAAGACUGACGCUCAGAUGCGAAAGCGUGGGGAGCAAACAGGAUUAGAUACCCUGGUAG